This is a small nucleolar RNA of Ctenopharyngodon idella (grass carp), 85 nucleotides long. RefSeq annotates it as small nucleolar RNA snR60/Z15/Z230/Z193/J17. The transcript has a single exon. Lineage: Eukaryota; Metazoa; Chordata; Actinopteri; Cypriniformes; Xenocyprididae. The record is from RefSeq and is a predicted model, not a curated record.
AUGAUGCAAAUUAAUGACUGCAUAGUUCAGCAGAAAAUUAAUGUAGAGAACAGAGUAAUGUCUUUGCUCCUAACUGUUGCAUCAA